CCUACGGGCCGCACCAGUGGGGAAUAUUGGACAAUGGGCGAAAGCCUGAUCCAGCAAUGCCGCGUGUGUGAAGAAGGUCUUCGGAUUGUAAAGCACUUUCGACGGGGACGAUGAUGACGGUACCCGUAGAAGAAGCCCCGGCUAACUUCGUGCCAGCAGCCGCGGUAAUACGAAGGGGCUAGCGGUGCUCGGAAUGACUGGGCGUAAAGGGCGCGUAGGCGGUUGAUGCAGUCAGAUGUGAAAUCCCCGGGCUUAACCUGGGAACUGCAUUUGAGACGCAUUGACUAGAGUUCGAGAGAGGGUUGUGGAAUUCCCAGUGUAGAGGUGAAAUUCGUAGAUAUUGGGAAGAACACCGGUGGCGAAGGCGGCAACCUGGCUCGAUACUGACGCUGAGGCGCGAAGGCGUGGGGAGCAAACAGGAUUAGAUACCCGUGUAGUC
Molecule: ribosomal RNA, 439 nt
Filed under: uncultured bacterium
Lineage: Bacteria
Description: bacterial SSU rRNA
Rfam family: Bacterial small subunit ribosomal RNA
Source: RNAcentral